GCAGGCGGUUUUUUAAGUCUGAAUGUGAAAGCCCCCGGCUUCAACCGGGGAGGGUCAUUUGGAAACUGGGGAAACUUUGAGUGCAGAAGAGGAGAGUGGAAUUCCACGUGUAGCGGUGAAAUGCGUAGAGAUGUGGAGGAACACCAGUGGCGAAGGCGACUCUCUGGUCUGUAACUGACGCUGAGGAGCGAAAGCGUGGGGAGCGAACAGGAUUAGAUACCCUGGUAGUCCACGCCGUAAACGAUGAGUGCUAAGUGUUAGGGGGUUUCCGCCCCUUAGUGCUGCAGCUAACGCAUUAAGCACUCCGCCUGGGGAGUACGGUCGCAAGACUGAAACUCAAAGGAAUUGACGGGGGCCCGCACAAGCGGUGGAGCAUGUGGUUUAAUUCGAAGCAACGCGAAGAACCUUACCAGGUCUUGACAUCCUCUGACAAUCCUAGAGAUAGGACGUCCCCUUCGGGGGCAGAGUGACAGGUGGUGCAUGGUUGUCGUCAGCUCGUGUCGUGAGAUGUUGGGUUAAGUCCCGCAACGAGCGCAACCCUUGAUCUUAGUUGCCAGCAUUCAGUUGGGCACUCUAAGGUGACUGCCGGUGACAAACCGGAGGAAGGUGGGGAUGACGUCAAAUCAUCAUGCCCCUUAUGACCUGGGCUACACACGUGCUACAAUGGACAGAACAAAGGGCAGCGAAACCGCGAGGUUAAGCCAAUCCCACAAAUCUGUUCUCAGUUCGGAUCGCAGUCUGCAACUCGACUGCGUGAAGCUGGAAUCGCUAGUAAUCGCGGAUCACAUG
RNAcentral lists this ribosomal RNA (789 nucleotides) under Bacillus subtilis. Its description in RNAcentral is "bacterial SSU rRNA". It matches the Rfam family "Bacterial small subunit ribosomal RNA", at positions 571 to 1356 of the family's 1533-position model. Lineage: Bacteria; Bacillati; Bacillota; Bacilli; Caryophanales; Bacillaceae. The record is from RNAcentral.